AAUUCCUACUCAAGACUCAGAUAGACCAAAAAAAAGUGAAAAAAAAAAAUAAGCGAAAGAUCAAGCUCAUUUAUAUUUUAUGCGCCUGUUGGUAUUCUUUUUUGACUAUGUGGACCUAUAUAAAAGAGCUAUCUUAGCGUAUGCAUUCUGAAGGUAUUUUAUAUACCAACUAACAACUUCGUGUUUCACUGGAGUAAACCUUAAGAGGCUGUCAAUACCUAAAGCGCGCACACUGUCUAUUUGUAUCGGAGUAAAUGAGAUAGCACUGUCGCAUGUUACUGGGCCUGGGCAAGGGAAUAAUAAGAAAAAUAUUUAAAUAAAAAAAACGGCCAAGUGCGAGUCGGACUCGCGCAUGAAGGGUUCCGUACAAUUUAAGACGUAUUAAAAAAAAAUCUUCUUACUAGAUCUUGUUCAACAUUUUACCACUUUGGACACACAUUUUACCACUUUGGAAGUGUCUCUCGCGCAAACUAUUCAGUUUAGAAAAAAAUGAUAUUAGGAACCUAACUAUCAUUUUUGAAGACCUAUCCAUACAUACCUUACACAUAUAUGUUUGAUGAAAAAAAAUUUUUUUUAAUUUUAUGACUUAUUAAAAAAAAACUACUCACUAGAUCUCGUUCAAAACAAUUUUCGGUAAAAGUUUGCAUGGUAAUGUAUAUCAUAUAUUUUUUUUAGAUUUUUCAUUCUGUUAUUUUAGAAGUUACAGGGGGGGGGACACACUUUUUUUCACUUUGGAAGGUUCUCUCGCGCAAACUAUUCAGUUUAGAAAAAAAUGAUAUUAGAAAAAUUAAUAUCAUUUUUGAAGACCUAUCCAUAGAUACCCCACACGUAUGGGUAUGAUGAAAAAAAUUUUUUUUUUUAAUUUCAUGACGUAUUAAAAAAAAACUACUUACUAGAUCUCGUUCAAACCAAUUUUCGGUGGAAGUUUACAUAGCAAUGUAUAUCAUAUAUUUUUUUUAGAUUUUUCAUUCUGUUAGUUUAGAAGUUACGGGGGGGGGACACACUUUUUUUCACUUUGAAAGGUUCUCUCGCGCAAACUAUUCAGUUUAGAAAAAAAUGAUAUUAGAAACAUUAAUAUCAUUUUUGAAGACCUAUCCAUAGAUACCCCACACGUAUGGGUAUGAUGAAAAAAUUUUUUUUUUUUAAUUUCAUGACGUAUUAAAAAAAAACUACUUACUAGAUCUCGUUCAAACCAAUUUUCGGUGGAAGUUUACAUGGCAAU
Long non-coding RNA from Cydia pomonella (codling moth), 1222 nucleotides. RefSeq lists it as uncharacterized. The record is from RefSeq and is a predicted model, not a curated record. The transcript has 2 exons. NCBI's taxonomy places the organism in Eukaryota, Metazoa, Arthropoda, Insecta, Lepidoptera, Tortricidae.